GCAGUCGAGCGGUAGCACAGGAGAGCUUGCUCUCCGGGUGACGAGCGGCGGACGGGUGAGUAAUGUCUGGGAAACUGCCUGAUGGAGGGGGAUAACUACUGGAAACGGUAGCUAAUACCGCAUAACGUCUACGGACCAAAGUGGGGGACCUUCGGGCCUCACGCCAUCAGAUGUGCCCAGAUGGGAUUAGCUAGUAGGUGGGGUAAUGGCUCACCUAGGCGACGAUCCCUAGCUGGUCUGAGAGGAUGACCAGCCACACUGGAACUGAGACACGGUCCAGACUCCUACGGGAGGCAGCAGUGGGGAAUAUUGCACAAUGGGCGCAAGCCUGAUGCAGCCAUGCCGCGUGUGUGAAGAAGGCCUUAGGGUUGUAAAGCACUUUCAGCGAGGAGGAAGGGUAGUGUGUUAAUAGCACAUUGCAUUGACGUUACUCGCAGAAGAAGCACCGGCUAACUCCGUGCCAGCAGCCGCGGUAAUACGGAGGGUGCAAGCGUUAAUCGGAAUUACUGGGCGUAAAGCGCACGCAGGCGGUUUGUUAAGUCAGAUGUGAAAUCCCCGCGCUUAACGUGGGAACUGCAUUUGAAACUGGCAAGCUAGAGUCUUGUAGAGGGGGGUAGAAUUCCAGGUGUAGCGGUGAAAUGCGUAGAGAUCUGGAGGAAUACCGGUGGCGAAGGCGGCCCCCUGGACAAAGACUGACGCUCAGGUG
This 706-nucleotide ribosomal RNA is filed under the name Serratia sp. 6-7. RNAcentral describes it as "bacterial SSU rRNA". It matches the Rfam family "Bacterial small subunit ribosomal RNA", at positions 57 to 753 of the family's 1533-position model. The record is from RNAcentral. Lineage: Bacteria; Pseudomonadati; Pseudomonadota; Gammaproteobacteria; Enterobacterales; Yersiniaceae.